GCUGGCGGCGCGCCUAACACAUGCAAGUCGAACGAGAAAGUGGAGCAAUCCAUGAGUACAGUGGCGUACGGGUGAGUAACACGUGGGUGAUCUACCUCUUAGUGAGGAAUAACCCUGGGAAACCGGGGCUAAUACCGCAUAAGCCUGAGAAGGGAAAGCAGCAAUGCGCUGAGAGAGGAGCCCGCGGCCGAUUAGCUAGUUGGUGAGGUAAAAGCCCACCAAGGCAGAGAUCGGUAGCCGGCCUGAGAGGGCACACGGCCACACUGGCACUGAAACACGGGCCAGACUCCUACGGGAGGCAGCAGUGGGGAAUCUUGCACAAUGGGGGAAACCCUGAUGCAGCGACGCCGCGUGAGCGAUGAAGCCCUUCGGGGUGUAAAGCUCUUUCGUCAGGGAAGAUCAUGACGGUACCUGGAGAAGCAGCUGCGGCUAACUACGUGCCAGCAGCCGCGGUAAUACGUAGGCAGCAAGCGUUGUUCGGAGUUACUGGGCGUAAAGGGUGUGUAGGCGGUUCUUUAAGUUUGGUGUGAAAUCUCCCGGCUCAACCGGGAGGGUGCGCCGAAUACUGAGGGACUAGAGUGUGGGAGAGGAAAGUGGAAUUCCUGGUGUA
Molecule: ribosomal RNA, 610 nt
Filed under: uncultured soil bacterium
Lineage: Bacteria
Description: bacterial SSU rRNA
Rfam family: Bacterial small subunit ribosomal RNA
Source: RNAcentral